Long non-coding RNA from Rosa rugosa (rugosa rose), 392 nucleotides. RefSeq lists it as uncharacterized. Lineage: Eukaryota; Viridiplantae; Streptophyta; Magnoliopsida; Rosales; Rosaceae. The record is from RefSeq and is a predicted model, not a curated record. The transcript is spliced from 3 exons.
GGUCUUAAAAUUGGAGAAAGGUGGUCUCUUUGGAAAUGGCAUCAAAUGGAACUUUACCAAGUUUUUGGUAAACAAAGAAGGGAAGGUUGUGGAGAGAUAUGCUCCCGUGACAGCACCUCUCAAAAUUGAGAAAGACAUCCAGAAUCUAUUGGAAUCUUCUUGAGUAUCAAGGAUCUACAGACAGAAGACAUGGGGCGGGUUAAAGAAAACAUAGGGAAGAAAGUGAAAAAGAAGAUUAUGAAGAAGAAGCAAAAAUUCCAACGAGGAAGAAAAAGGAUAUGAAGAAGAGUAGCAAGGACAUACGAAAUUUUAGAAAUUUGUUUAGGGCUUAGGAUAGUGACUUGGCCAAUUGUAAACUCUAGGUUACUAAAUCAAUUAGUUUUUUUAUAUCU